RNAcentral lists this ribosomal RNA (467 nucleotides) under uncultured bacterium. RNAcentral's name for it is "bacterial SSU rRNA". It matches the Rfam family "Bacterial small subunit ribosomal RNA", at positions 28 to 507 of the family's 1533-position model. The record is from RNAcentral.
GAUGAACGCUAGCGGCAGGCUUAAUACAUGCAAGUCAAGGGGUCAGUAAUGGCACCGGCGGACGGGUGAGUAACGCGUACACAACGUACCUUUAACUGGGGGAUAGCAUUUGGAAACGAGUGGUAAUACCGCAUGUGGUUGUAGGGAGGCAUCUUUUGCAACUAAAACUCAGGUGGUUAAAGAUCGGUGUGCGUCCGAUUAGCUUGUUGGUGAGGUAAUGGCUCACCAAGGCGACGAUCGGUAGGGGGCGUGAGAGCGUGAACCCCCACACGGGUACUGAGACACGGACCCGACUCCUACGGGAGGCAGCAGUAAGGAAUAUUGGUCAAUGGAGGCAACUCUGAACCAGCCAUGCCGCGUGAAGGAAGAAGGCGCUAUGCGUUGUAAACUUCUUUUGGGUGGGAAGAAAAUGGUCAAUUUAUUGACAACUGACGGUACCAUCAGAAUAAGCACCGGCUAACUCCGUG